UCUCCCCCGCAGCGGCCGUGCCCAGGCCCAACACGGCCACACGGCGCCCGCCCGUCCGCGCCGCCGCGCGCGUUCCGCCACUCUGCAGCUCGCUCGCCCGUUCUCCAUCUCCGGUCCGGGCGGCGCCACCUGAGCUCGACGCUACUCCCCACGACGGCCGAGUCCUAGCACUCUCGACACCGGCACUGCGGCACUAGAGCCAUCCCCGAACGGCAAAUCCCCUCACGGCAACAGGCAUACCCUAGGUCCAUGGUGGUUACACUUGGCACGGUGGGGGCGGCAGAGGGCAGCCACUAUGACGUGGAUUCGGACCACAUGAGUGCUCUGAAAGGUGUUGGCUGUGUUCUGGGUCGCCUGGCCGGAGCACUCGCCGCAGCAGGGGGUGUUUUUGGCACAGUUGGCAGCUCCCGUUGCAGUGCCUCCGGCAAUCUCAGUGGGAUAGCUGAGAUUAUCGGCGACGACGUCGGCGGCGCUGCAGGUCUCUGUCUCGCCGGCGAUACUCUUGAACACAGUGGCAGAGUUUUGGUCCGAGUCGGCGAUGGCCGUCCAGUUAGCAUAGGAAAAGGAAACAACCUUGUGUGCAGAAGUGUGGGAUCAAGUCAUUGGGCUAAAAAACCAAUCUACCGACCAAAUAUUCAACUUGAUGACCUCCCAGAGGUAUGCUGAAACUUCUUGUAUAAAGCUGUUAUUAGGAGUAAAUUAAAUUUCCAAACUUUGGGAGAGUGGGGAGAGCGACGAGGAUACAUCAUUUCUUUGCUGCAGGAUGUGCUGCGCAGGGUAUUUUCAAAAUUGCAGCUUAAUGAGGUUGUUAGGACCAGUGUUCUGUCAAGUAAUUGGAGGCAUAUGUGGACAGUUUCUUCCAAAUUAAGUCUUGAUUGUGUUGCAAUAUGUGGUGGGUGUCGAUAUUUCUGUAGCAAACAGAAAUAUACCCAGAAAUUCAUAGAUCAUGUUAAUACUGUGUUGCGACAGCUUCAUGGCAAGGUGUUUGAAGAUCUUGAGAUCAAAGUUGAAUUCAAUAGCUUACUAGUUGAUCAUCUUGUUGGUGCUAGUAUGCUGGAGGUAGAUAACACGGCGGCAGGGGAUAAACCCUAGUUCGCCCUCCCUUGGAGGCUCUGAACUCUUGAGGUUUAUUAUCUGCUUAAUUGUCCAAUGUGCCGACUCUUCCUUUAAAUAGAGCCGGCCCUAACAAACCAUCUAACAAACUCUAAUCUCUAAGAUGACAUGAAUUACAGAAAAUAAAGCAUGAAUUAUCCUAGCCACUAGUAGAAGCUGCCUUCUUGUUGCGGCGCUGGAACUUGUGACCAAAGAACCGGUCCACAACACAUCUAAACAAUUGGAUUAGUUUUUCUGUGUCAUCACUUAUCAAGAAUCUAGCACUGGAUUUAGCUCCAGGUGAAUUUGUGGCUGUUAACAUUCGAGAUAAAAGAUUUGUCGAUACUAAGGAUAGGUACACGUUUCCCAUUGAACUUUUCAACAGUGCAAGCAUAUCCCGAAUACGACAUAUUCAGCUUAGCUGUGUAUCCUUUAGACCGCCUUCCCCAUUUAGGGGUUUCCCAAACUUGAGGAAACUUGAUCUGGAUUUAUUUGAUGCAUCUGAAAUGGAUCUUAAUGAGAUGCUGUCAGGUUGUUCUAAUCUUGAGUGGCUGAGCUUCAAUAGAUGCGAUGUGAAUGAUGAAUUAAAGGUGAAACAGCCAUUGUCCCGGUUGCUGUACUUGUGUAUCGCGCAUUGCAACAUUAGAAAGGUAGUGUUAUGUGCAGAAAAUCUCAAGACUUUUGUAUACUAUGGAGGGAGGCUACCUAUUGACCUUGGUCAAGUUAAGCAACUUGAAACAGCAGAACUUCGCCUAUAUUGUAUCACUUUUGAAUAUGUCCUCACUGAGCUUCCAGAUGUUCUUCGGGGUGUGCAAAAUUUGACUUUGCGGACUAGUUAUCUACCAUUAGAGAAACCCUUAUUGCUGGAAAACAUUGGCAGCUUUCCGCAGCUGAGAUUUUUACGGUUGACAUUCCUUGUAAGAUAUCAUGUAGUGACAAUAUUCUCUCAUUGGCAUCCUUCCUUAGGGCUGCCCCUUUGAUUGAGGAGCUUGAGAUGCAUUUUGAUGCACAUUUUGCCGGCAUGGGAUGUGGAAUUUUCCAGAGUCUUCCACCGUGUCCAUAUAAUUAUCUAAGGAAAGUGCAUUUCACAGGAUUUAAUGGGAUUAAGGGGCAACGUGAAUUCCUAUUACAUAUAGUGGAAAAUGCCCCUGCACUGAAGGUUUUAACUAUAGAUCCAAAGAAGUUGUGUCCUUGUAACUAUAAGCCUUCAGAUUCCUUAGCCUGUAGAGCUCUUUGUAACUGUAAGCCUUCAGAUUUCUUAGCCCGUAGAGCUAAAGGCCCUGUUUGGGACCGCGACAUGCAGAAUCGCGAUGCGUUUAAACGAAACGCGGCCCUUCCCUCGCUUCUCGCAGUGCGCAGUUCAUUUUCCCGCUUUUUCA
This is an RNA transcript of Panicum virgatum (switchgrass), 2471 nucleotides long. RefSeq lists it as uncharacterized. The transcript is spliced from 5 exons. The record is from RefSeq and is a predicted model, not a curated record. Lineage: Eukaryota; Viridiplantae; Streptophyta; Magnoliopsida; Poales; Poaceae.